Molecule: ribosomal RNA, 521 nt
Filed under: Holostephanus dubinini
Lineage: Eukaryota; Metazoa; Platyhelminthes; Trematoda; Diplostomida; Cyathocotylidae
Description: SSU rRNA
Rfam family: Eukaryotic small subunit ribosomal RNA
Source: RNAcentral
UCGAAUGAGUACAAUCUAAAUCCUUUAACGAGGACCAAUUGGAGGGCAAGUCUGGUGCCAGCAGCCGCGGUAACUCCAGCUCCAAAAGCGUAUAUUAAAGUUGCUGCAGUUAAAAAGCUCGUAGUUGGAUCUGGGUCGUGCGGUCGCGUGCCGGCGCUCGUUCAUUUGGCCUAAUCUCCGAUUGGGUCUUAUGUUCGUGCCAGCAUCGUGGUCGUGCAGCCUUUCAGCCGUGUCUGUGUAAACAGGUGCUGGCGUGGCCGGUGAGUUCGCUUGCUAGCCUGUCGGCAUGCUUCCGGGUGCUCUUCACCGGGUGUCGGGGGCGGACGGCACUUUUACUUUGAACAAAUUUGAGUGCUCAAAGCAGGCCUGUGUGCCUGAAAAUUCUUGCAUGGAAUAAUGGAAUAGGACUUCGGUUCUAUUUUGUUGGUUUUCGGAUCCGAAGUAAUGGUUAAGAGGGACAGACGGGGGCAUUUGUAUGGUUGCGUGAGAGGUGAAAUUCAGUGAUCGCAGCCAGACAAACU